GCGAUUUAUCUCGCAAGUCUCGAAUCGCAUCUGACGUUUCAUUACAUAAUCGAUAUGCAAUUCUAACCUUCGAACGCACGAAAUUAAUCGACCGAUGUAUCCGUAGAUUUUGAUGGCUACUUCCAGUUUCAAAGCCAUCAGAUACUUGGUGAAACGUAACUUGGUCAGUGUCCUGUUCCCUACACUUACGGUGUAUUCGAUUUUCUUGGAUUUGAGACACACGGCUCGUUGGAAGCAGCAACUAGCACAGGAACAGGGACACUAAGACGGUAGAGAACAUGUGGAAGUAUUAUUGGACACUCAUCUUCCCUAUCUCGGGUUUCCUACUCGGACAUAAACUGGAUCACCUGGAGACGGAGCGAAUGACGAUGUUCAGGGACAAAUCGGCGUUGUACGGCAGAGAAUUGAAACCUGGAGAACCACCGUCCUGGCCGUAUUAAUCUCAUGUUUAUUAUGCAUCGUUGAAUCUUAAGAAGUUGCAGAAUCAGUUAGUUCUAUGGAACUUUACAGGAAACUCCGGAUACACGUGUGCAAUGUUCGGCGUGCUCAUUUAAACUGAACUUUCCUUUAACGUUCGUUUGGACCUCAUAGAGUGAGAUAUGCAGGCUUUGCUUGUAUUGUGUGCUGGUCAAGGAUCUUUCAACGUAUACCUGAAAGACGAGCUGUCGGGGGUGAGGUCCUUUUAAAAGCCAGUUCCAUCGGACCGCGCAGGCGGAUUCAUAAUAUUUUACCUGCCUCUUUUACGUUACAUAAAACAUGUAUAUGUAUGUUGUAGGAACAACCUUGGUUCUACCCUUUUUUUUAUUGAGAUUGUUUCAGAAAUGAAAAUAUCUGACAAAUUGCCAUAAUAAAAAAGUUUCUGUUGAAACAAUUUUAAUUAUAAA
Molecule: RNA transcript, 884 nt
Organism: Nylanderia fulva
Lineage: Eukaryota; Metazoa; Arthropoda; Insecta; Hymenoptera; Formicidae
Gene name: NADH dehydrogenase (ubiquinone) MNLL subunit
Source: RefSeq, a predicted model, not a curated record